UACGGAGGAUGCGAGCGUUAUCCGGAUUUAUUGGGUUUAAAGGGUGCGUAGGCGGAUCGUUAAGUCAGUGGUCAAAUUGAGGGGCUCAACCCCUUCCCGCCAUUGAAACUGGCGGCCUCGAGUGGGCGAGAAGUAUGCGGAAUGCGUGGUGUAGCGGUGAAAUGCUUAGAUAUCGCGCAGAACCCCGAUUGCGAAGGCAGCGUACCGGCUCCACACUGACGCUGAGGCACGAAAGCGUGGGUAUCGAACAGG
This 252-nucleotide ribosomal RNA is filed under the name uncultured Bacteroidales bacterium. Its description in RNAcentral is "partial 16S ribosomal RNA". It matches the Rfam family "Bacterial small subunit ribosomal RNA", at positions 524 to 776 of the family's 1533-position model. Lineage: Bacteria; Pseudomonadati; Bacteroidota; Bacteroidia; Bacteroidales. The record is from RNAcentral.